Molecule: ribosomal RNA, 396 nt
Filed under: uncultured bacterium
Lineage: Bacteria
Description: bacterial SSU rRNA
Rfam family: Bacterial small subunit ribosomal RNA
Source: RNAcentral
UAAUACAGAGGGUGCGAGCGUUAAUCGGAUUUACUGGGCGUAAAGCGUGCGUAGGCGGCUUUUUAAGUCGGAUGUGAAAUCCCUGAGCUUAACUUAGGAAUUGCAUUCGAUACUGGGAAGCUAGAGUAUGGGAGAGGAUGGUAGAAUUCCAGGUGUAGCGGUGAAAUGCGUAGAGAUCUGGAGGAAUACCGAUGGCGAAGGCAGCCAUCUGGCCUAAUACUGACGCUGAGGUACGAAAGCAUGGGGAGCAAACAGGAUUAGAUACCCUGGUAGUCCAUGCCGUAAACGAUGUCUACUAGCCGUUGGGGCCUUUGAGGCUUUAGUGGCGCAGCUAACGCGAUAAGUAGACCGCCUGGGGAGUACGGUCGCAAGACUAAAACUUAAAUGAAUUGACGG